Molecule: long non-coding RNA, 693 nt
Organism: Sapajus apella (tufted capuchin)
Lineage: Eukaryota; Metazoa; Chordata; Mammalia; Primates; Cebidae
Exons: 3
Source: RefSeq, a predicted model, not a curated record
CCAGCUAUGCCUGCACAGAAAACGGAUGGGAUGCGUUGAAGGAUCCUCCUAAUUUAUCACCCAGGGGCUCUUUUCCGUGGAGAGUCAGGCUCUCCUUGCUCCGUUUUGAGAACAAAUUGCAUGUGACACAAGAUAAACUUUACCCCAGCACUGCCUUUGCUGGAGCCAAGGACAUAUCACUGGGCUAUAAUUGGAACCAGAGGCAUCCGGGAUUUUAUAAUUUUUAUAAACAGGCAUACAAGAUUCUGUAAUUAAUAGCAAUGAGAACAAUAAUGAUGAUCCUCCACACUUGGACCCCCCUAAUCCAUAAGAAAUGCUUCCCUGGUGGUUGUGUGGAAGGGAUAAGAGGAUCAGGAAGACACAAUCCAGAUCUCAAUAGAAUGGAUAAUGACCACCUGAAAUUGUGAGAGGGAGUGAUCCUCUCUAUUCAGUCUAUUGAUUCAAAUGCUAAUCCCUUCCAGAAACACCCUCACAGAUGCACUCAGGGAUAUCAUACCAGCUUUCUGGGCAUCCCUUUGCCCAGUAAAGUUGACACAUAAAAUUGACCAUCACAGUAGGCCCUUAACUAAAUCUGCUGAAGGAAUACAUGAGUGCAAGAAUCCCUAUCUCCACUGUGAAGAGGUUUAUAAAUACACAUACCAGAAUGUAAUAUCCUGCAUAUGUAUGUAUGUGUGUGUGUGUAUGUAUGUGUGU